RNAcentral lists this ribosomal RNA (497 nucleotides) under uncultured bacterium. RNAcentral describes it as "partial 16S ribosomal RNA". It matches the Rfam family "Bacterial small subunit ribosomal RNA", at positions 28 to 507 of the family's 1533-position model. The record is from RNAcentral.
GAUGAACGCUGGCGGCGUGCCUAAUACAUGCAAGUCGAGCGAACAGACGAGGAGCUUGCUCCUCUGACGUUAGCGGCGGACGGGUGAGUAACACGUGGAUAACCUACCUAUAAGACUGGGAUAACUUCGGGAAACCGGAGCUAAUACCGGAUAAUAUAUUGAACCGCAUGGUUCAAUAGUGAAAGACGGUUUUGCUGUCACUUAUAGAUGGAUCCGCGCCGCAUUAGCUAGUUGGUAAGGUAACGGCUUACCAAGGCAACGAUGCGUAGCCGACCUGAGAGGGUGAUCGGCGACACUGGAACUGAGACACGGUCCAGACUCCUACGGGAGGCAGCAGUAGGGAAUCUGCCGCAAUGGGCGAAAGCUUGACGGAGCAACGCCGCGUGAGUGAUGAAGGUCUUCGGAGCGUAAAACUCUGUUAUUAGGGAAGAACAAAUGUGUAAGUAACUAUGCACGUCUUGACGGUACCUAAUCAGAAAGCCACGGCUAACUACGUG